UCAGAACGAACGCUGGCGGCAGGCCUAACACAUGCAAGUCGAACGAAGCCUUCGGGCUUAGUGGCGGACGGGUUAGUAACGCGUGGGAACGUGCCUUUCACUACGGAAUAGUCCCGGGAAACUGGGUUUAAUACCGUAUACGCCCUUCGGGGGAAAGAAUUUCGGUGAAAGAUCGGCCCGCGUUAGAUUAGGUAGUUGGUGGGGUAAUGGCCUACCAAGCCUACGAUCUAUAGCUGGUUUUAGAGGAUGAUCAGCAACACUGGGACUGAGACACGGCCCAGACUCCUACGGGAGGCAGCAGUGGGGAAUCUUGGACAAUGGGCGCAAGCCUGAUCCAGCCAUGCCGCGUGAGUGAUGAAGGCCUUAGGGUCGUAAAGCUCUUUCGCCAGGGAUGAUAAUGACAGUACCUGGUAAAGAAACCCCGGCUAACUCCGUGCCAGCAGCCGCGGUAAUACGGAGGGGGUUAGCGUUGUUCGGAAUUACUGGGCGUAAAGCGCGCGUAGGCGGAUUGGAAAGUUGGGGGUGAAAUCCCGGGGCUCAACCCCGGAACGGCCUCCAAAACUCCCAGUCUUGAGUUCGAGAGAGGUGAGUGGAAUUCCGAGUGUAGAGGUGAAAUUCGUAGAUAUUCGGAGGAACACCAGUGGCGAAGGCGGCUCACUGGCUCGAUACUGAC
RNAcentral lists this ribosomal RNA (673 nucleotides) under Rhodobacteraceae bacterium Pbc-contz1. RNAcentral's name for it is "bacterial SSU rRNA". It matches the Rfam family "Bacterial small subunit ribosomal RNA", at positions 24 to 744 of the family's 1533-position model. Lineage: Bacteria; Pseudomonadati; Pseudomonadota; Alphaproteobacteria; Rhodobacterales; Paracoccaceae. The record is from RNAcentral.